Thunnus maccoyii (southern bluefin tuna) is the source of this 1070-nucleotide long non-coding RNA. RefSeq lists it as uncharacterized. The transcript has 2 exons. NCBI's taxonomy places the organism in Eukaryota, Metazoa, Chordata, Actinopteri, Scombriformes, Scombridae. The record is from RefSeq and is a predicted model, not a curated record.
CACCUCAACAGAAACAGCUAGAUGAAAAGAGCGAGGCUGGCUAGACUCAACGUUUAGCUCCACAUGCUUUUGCAGCUGGGCUGCCCUGCCUCACUUGGAUGCAUCAACAAAGCUUGAAGUGGCCACUCUAAUCUGGUUAAGUAUUGCCUGGUUGGGGAGAAAUUAGGCGAAUUCUUUUAACUUUUCAAACAAACAUAAUACAGUCAAACUUGCUGGAUGAGAAUCAAUUACAUGAACUGAAAAUAGUUUUGGGGGGGGGUUUUAUCAUUUCGUUUUUGGAAAUCAUCUAAUACUUCUAUUCAAUGGCAUAUGCCUGUAGUGUCACAUCGAAGCCAUAUUUCAGUCCAGUGAAAUGAAUGAAACAGAAGAGUAUCUGUUGAAACACUGCCGGAAUACAUUUCACAAAUCUUCUUCACCCGGUGGUGAUAUUGUCAUUAUCAGCAUAACUUCAAAAAUAGUUAUUCCUUGCCUAAAUCCAUAAGAUAUUGUGAGAAAUAGUGGGAUAAUUUUCAGAUAAUUGCAUAGUUUCUCAGUACAAUUGGCUGGAAUGGUGGCUGCAAACUAUUGUUCCACUUAUAUUGGUCUAUUCAAUUAAAAAAAAUUCUCUCUAAAACAUAUUUGGUUUGUUUAACAAAUUUCAUUCUGUGUAGGCUAAGAAAUGUGAUUUUCUGAAAUACAGAAGGUUUUAGGCCACCGAUAUAAACACUACAAUGGCUAAUUUAUCAAUAAGAAGGUAUAUUUCAGUGACAUCAAACAUAUUAUAUAACUUUGAUGCAAUCAUGCAAUCUGUGGAUUCUCAUUGCAAUUCUUAUUGAAUGAAUUAAUCACAUUUUCACUCAAAAACCAUUUAUGUGUCUUUAUGUAUCUCAAGAUAAGAAUAUUCAUCUAUGUACCUGUCAAACUAUAUUGUGUGUAGAUAAAUUACCCCAAAUUAAUGGCAGCAGUCUUAAUUUAAGAAAUUUUCAGUUUGAUACUAUUUCGCUGUCAACAUCUUCACUUUUAAACAGAUAAGGUUCUGAGCAAAACAGACUUCUUUUAUUAUCGACUUGCCUAACAGAUGGUUGCGAAGG